UCUGAAAGAAUUGAUGCUCUUC
This 22-nucleotide microRNA is filed under the name Ornithorhynchus anatinus (platypus). RNAcentral's name for it is "oan-miR-1326". Lineage: Eukaryota; Metazoa; Chordata; Mammalia; Monotremata; Ornithorhynchidae. The record is from miRBase by way of RNAcentral.